Molecule: ribosomal RNA, 799 nt
Filed under: uncultured bacterium
Lineage: Bacteria
Description: bacterial SSU rRNA
Rfam family: Bacterial small subunit ribosomal RNA
Source: RNAcentral
AGAGUUUGAUCAUGGCUCAGGAUGAACGCUAGCGGCAGGCUUAAUACAUGCAAGUCGUGGGGCAGCAGGUCCCGCAGCAAUGCGGGAUGCUGGCGACCGGCAAACGGGUGCGGAACACGUACACAACCUUCCUUUAAGUGGGGAAUAGCCCAGGGAAACUUGGAUUAAUACCCCGUAACAUAUAGAAGAGGCAUCUCUUUCAUAUUAUAGCUACGGCGCUUGAAGAUGGGUGUGCGGCUGAUUAGGUAGUUGGCGGGGUAACGGCCCACCAAGCCUACGAUCAGUAACUGGUGUGAGAGCACGACCAGUCACACGGGCACUGAGACACGGGCCCGACUCCUACGGGAGGCAGCAGUAAGGAAUAUUGGUCAAUGGACGCAAGUCUGAACCAGCCAUGCCGCGUGGAGGAUGAAGGUCCUCUGGAUUGUAAACUUCUUUUAUCUGGGACGAAAAAAGGGAAUUCUUUCUCACUUGACGGUACCAGAUGAAUAAGCACCGGCUAACUCCGUGCCAGCAGCCGCGGUAAUACGGAGGGUGCAAGCGUUAUCCGGAUUCACUGGGUUUAAAGGGUGCGUAGGUGGGCUAGUAAGUCAGUGGUGAAAUCUCCGGGCUUAACCCGGAAACUGCCAUUGAUACUAUUAGUCUUGAAUACCAUGGAGGUGAGCGGAAUAUGUCAUGUAGCGGUGAAAUGCUUAGAUAUGACAUAGAACACCAAUUGCGAAGGCAGCUCGCUACGCGGUUAUUGACACUGAGGCACGAAAGCGUGGGGAUCAAACAGGAUUAGAUACCCUAGUAGUCC